AAUGAACGUUGGCGGCGUGGAUUAGGCAUGCAAGUCGAGCGGGUGUAGCAAUACAUCAGCGGCGAAAGGGAGAGUAAUGCGUGGAUACCUACCCUCGGGUUCGGGAUAGCUACGGGAAACUGUAGGUAAUACCGAAUAACAUCUCCGGAUCAAAGGUGUGAUUCCGCCCGGGGAGGGUCCGCGUCCUAUUAGCUAGUUGGCGAGGUAACGGCUCACCAAGGCGAAGAUGGGUAUGGGGUGUGAGAGCAUGCCCCCACUCACUGGGACUGAGACACGGCCCAGACUCCUACGGGAGGCAG
This 299-nucleotide ribosomal RNA is filed under the name uncultured Planctomycetota bacterium. Its description in RNAcentral is "uncultured planctomycete partial 16S ribosomal RNA". It matches the Rfam family "Bacterial small subunit ribosomal RNA", at positions 29 to 351 of the family's 1533-position model. The record is from RNAcentral. Lineage: Bacteria; Pseudomonadati; Planctomycetota.